AUUGGCUUUGCAGAGCUAAAAAUAAAUAAUUAAAUAAACAACAGUAGAAAGUAGUUGCAUCUCCUGAUGCUUCCCCCACAAAAGUGCCAGGCGAAACGGUUCAAGAGUGAAGGUGCGGUGGUUGUUCUCAACGUUUGAUCUUAGCUAUCUCUAUUUGAUAUAGAAGAUAAAUAUUUAUAUGAGUUAUAAAUAACAUAAAGAAACAAAAUUAAAAUAUUUUAGAGUUUAGACUUUAAGAUUCAAUUAUGUGAAGUUAAUCCAUUUGUAUUCUAAAGGCUUAAGAUCAAGCCCAAUCUAAUUCUCUUGGCACCUCCAAAUCUACUAACCAAGAUUUAUAACUCGCUUGCUCCUCUUGUAAUUAGACCCUAGAACAAUAGAAGUGGCUUUGAUGGUGAUGUCUCCUCAUCAUAUUACAGAGUGGGUUUUUGGUUCAUUUUCCAUUUAGUUAUCAAAUUUUUAGUUGUCUAGUUGUCGCACUUACCCCCAAUAUUUCUGAACAGUUUCGUUUAAACAUGACUUUGUUCUGAGUUAACUAGCUACUGUAUAGUCGUGAGCCACUUCCAGAUGGACGACUCUAUCUAGAGGUAAAAAUACCAUUAUUCUUUUCCCUGCCCAAAUAUUUGCAUAUUGUACUCUUUUUGUUUUCUUUACAAACGAUGAAGUCUGAAAAGCUAAACUGUUUAUGAAGCUUUGGGUUGGAUUGCUUUUUCUAUUUAUUUAUUUUUUUUAUUUCGUGUCUUCUAAAAGUAGCAGGACUUCAUAAUUGAUGAGCACUCUGCAUAAGGUGGGCAAUAUUUGUUUUAGUGACAACUAGAUGUAGAAAAUGCAUUUCAAAUUUUGAGCAUGCGGGAUCCAAUUAUCAGCCCUCAAGGGUGAAGAGGGCAGAGGUGUUUCCAUGAAGUAUAGCAUUUUUCUGUGUGUGUGCUUUUUUAUGUUUAUUCCUGUUUAAUAAAGUACAAUUUCUUGCAGGUUGAAAGUGGCCGUAGAUUUCGCAUCCUCCGAUCUUGGGAUCAAAAUGGGUAUCGUGUUGCAGAGGUUGAAUGGUUACAGGAUGGUCCACCGAAAAGGAGAGCACAAGUAUGCUUGUUGCUUUUAUCUUUUUCUUUCACUUCCUGCAUUAUUAUUUUUAGUUUCUUUUUUUUUUCAUUUUAAUUCCUUUGUUUUGUUGUCAAAGUGAUGCUGAGAGGUUAGAAGGCAGAAAAAGGUGGUUAAACCUUUUGUUACUGGGUUUUGAUCCAUUCAAGGGUCUUGGGAUUUAUAUAUUGUUGGUCUUUUGGCACAUAUACACACUUUUUGAAUUUGAAGAAAGUUACCUACUUUCUGUUAGUUCUUGUGUCAUUGAGAUUUCAUAGUACCAAAUGGUUUAUAUUAUUACAAGAAGAUAUAGGAUAUCAACCCUCUGUGUAUGUGGCUCAUCUUGGGGUUGGGGCUUCAUUUGAGUUGAGUUGUUCAUUGGUCACAUUAAUCAUUGGGUAAAAUAAGGAGGAUAGCUCUCCUCAAUCCCAUAAAACCCUUAUACCCCUUAUCCAAAUAGGAUUAAAACCUAAGAUCUCCAAGUGGAAAUUUCUAUGUUCAAAUUGUGAUGAGUGCUCAUCUUUUUUAUGUGUUGCAGUCACUUUGUUGUUUCAUUUCUGGAUGCUUUCAGUUACAGGAUAAUACAAAUAAUGCAGCAGAAUAUGCUUAAUCAUGGUUAAGGAGGGCAAAGGAAUCUGCUAGACGAGUUAAAGGCUUGAGAUGAAUGCCUUUACUUGUGUAAGCUCUAUUUAUUCCAUUAAAACAUAAAACUUGGUGUGUUUUUCAGAUGGAAGACUUUGAGUCAAGGUUUUUGUUAUUUUUAAUGAUUUUCAUAUCUGCAUCUGCAUCAAGAAAUCAUUUAGAGUUUGCCAAUACACAGAAAAGGAUUUCUUAUUCUAUAUUCCUGUUUUGUAUUUUGCAAUGUUUUAUUUCAAUUUAUGACAAAAUUCAUACAGAUCGAAGAUGACUUGAGAAACCAUACAACGUAGAAGUGAUGAUGCCCACACCACUGGAUCCAGAGCGCUUCAGUUUCUGGCUUGCUACAUUAUCAGACAGGAAGCCUUAUGAAAAACUGGAGCUCCUGCGCAUAAAGGAUACAGAAGAGAGGAUAAAACGAGGAUUGGUAUAUCUUAGAGCGGCAGAACAGGGCUGCAGGGUGCAAUAAUAAAAUUUGUAUUUGUAAAUUGAAUGCUCCAUAAGAUAUCAAAAUUUAUAAUCAGCAUUCUUUGAUCCACGUGAUUGUGGAUCCUAUGACCACAGAAAGAUGAUUCCGUAAA
Long non-coding RNA from Hevea brasiliensis (rubber tree), 2291 nucleotides. RefSeq lists it as uncharacterized. NCBI's taxonomy places the organism in Eukaryota, Viridiplantae, Streptophyta, Magnoliopsida, Malpighiales, Euphorbiaceae. The record is from RefSeq and is a predicted model, not a curated record. The transcript is spliced from 4 exons.